UAUUCCAUCUUCUAAGGUCUUCUUUAAUUUCUUUCUUUAGCGUUCUGUAGUUUUCGUUGUAGAAGUCUUUCACCUCUUUUGUAAUGAAAAGAAAGAAAUUAAAGAAGAUCUUAGAAGAUGGAACAA
This 126-nucleotide microRNA precursor is filed under the name Marmota monax (woodchuck). The record is from RNAcentral. Lineage: Eukaryota; Metazoa; Chordata; Mammalia; Rodentia; Sciuridae.